RNAcentral lists this ribosomal RNA (1342 nucleotides) under uncultured bacterium. RNAcentral describes it as "bacterial SSU rRNA". It matches the Rfam family "Bacterial small subunit ribosomal RNA", at positions 28 to 1381 of the family's 1533-position model. The record is from RNAcentral.
GAUGAACGCUGGCGGCGUGCUUAACACAUGCAAGUCGAACGGUGAAGCCAAGCUUGCUUGGUGGAUCAGUGGCGAACGGGUGAGUAACACGUGAGCAACCUGCCCUGGACUCUGGGAUAAGCGCUGGAAACGGCGUCUAAUACUGGAUAUGAGACGUGAUCGCAUGGUCGUGUUUGGAAAGAUUUUUCGGUCUGGGAUGGGCUCGCGGCCUAUCAGCUUGUUGGUGAGGUAAUGGCUCACCAAGGCGUCGACGGGUAGCCGGCCUGAGAGGGUGACCGGCCACACUGGGACUGAGACACGGCCCAGACUCCUACGGGAGGCAGCAGUGGGGAAUAUUGCACAAUGGGCGAAAGCCUGAUGCAGCAACGCCGCGUGAGGGAUGACGGCCUUCGGGUUGUAAACCUCUUUUAGCAGGGAAGAAGCGAAAGUGACGGUACCUGCAGAAAAAGCGCCGGCUAACUACGUGCCAGCAGCCGCGGUAAUACGUAGGGCGCAAGCGUUAUCCGGAAUUAUUGGGCGUAAAGAGCUCGUAGGCGGUUUGUCGCGUCUGCUGUGAAAUCCCGAGGCUCAACCUCGGGCCUGCAGUGGGUACGGGCAGACUAGAGUGCGGUAGGGGAGAUUGGAAUUCCUGGUGUAGCGGUGGAAUGCGCAGAUAUCAGGAGGAACACCGAUGGCGAAGGCAGAUCUCUGGGCCGUAACUGACGCUGAGGAGCGAAAGGGUGGGGAGCAAACAGGCUUAGAUACCCUGGUAGUCCACCCCGUAAACGUUGGGAACUAGUUGUGGGGACCAUUCCACGGUUUCCGUGACGCAGCUAAUGCAUUAAGUUCCCCGCCUGGGGAGUACGGCCGCAAGGCUAAAACUCAAAGGAAUUGACGGGGACCCGCACAAGCGGCGGAGCAUGCGGAUUAAUUCGAUGCAACGCGAAGAACCUUACCAAGGCUUGACAUAUACGAGAACGGGCCAGAAAUGGUCAACUCUUUGGACACUCGUAAACAGGUGGUGCAUGGUUGUCGUCAGCUCGUGUCGUGAGAUGUUGGGUUAAGUCCCGCAACGAGCGCAACCCUCGUUCUAUGUUGCCAGCACGUAAUGGUGGGAACUCAUGGGAUACUGCCGGGGUCAACUCGGAGGAAGGUGGGGAUGACGUCAAAUCAUCAUGCCCCUUAUGUCUUGGGCUUCACGCAUGCUACAAUGGCCGGUACAAAGGGCUGCAAUACCGUGAGGUGGAGCGAAUCCCAAAAAGCCGGUCCCAGUUCGGAUUGAGGUCUGCAACUCGACCUCAUGAAGUCGGAGUCGCUAGUAAUCGCAGAUCAGCAACGCUGCGGUGAAUACGUUCCCGGGUCU